This 729-nucleotide long non-coding RNA is filed under the name Rattus norvegicus (Norway rat). RNAcentral's name for it is "long non-coding RNA NONRATT029743". Lineage: Eukaryota; Metazoa; Chordata; Mammalia; Rodentia; Muridae. The record is from RNAcentral.
GCUGGACGGCGUGAGUGGCAGGAGCCGAGUCCGGACCUGGCGGUGACUGCCUCGUCGCUUUGUUUGCUAACUUGGACUGUGGCUUUCGGGGGGCCACCCCACGGAACCCGCCUCGGGUCCGCUAAGCCCAACCCACGGCAGCACGAGGCCGAAACGUUCCUUCCCGGCGGUUAUGCGCGGCCACGCGGUGGCUCUCAUUAUGUACACAAAGGGCGAGCGGGAGCCGGUACAGAGUAGAAGAAGCCUCUCUCAAACCAGGACGCGAGGGGAAAUGCAGAAUUAAAACUCACCGUGACGCGAAGGCCAGCCGGACCCCGCCAAUGCACACCUCCUGCUCGUGUAAAUCAUUUCGAGGCAGUUGGGAAGCCGGAGCGCGCUGGCCGGGUUCUGAGAUCAGCUGAAGCCCCACGGUGCCCCUCCCCCAGCCCCACUCCACCCCUAAGGCCGAGCUCGUUGGGAGUUUCGCGUUCCCGCAGGACUGUGCGCCGGGUCUUUUACAACUCCAGAAAAGGGGAACGCCCCCGCCCCCCUCCUCCCCGGCGCGAGCUCAUAACAUCCGCAAUAUUUUUUUUUAAUCCGCUGUCUGCACGGCGGAAAAACAAGCUUCGGUUCUGCCUGUGUCAGGGCCUCUCGGUGUAACUGAUUCAAGUGACUUCGGGUUAGUUGCUGUUGCCACGUGUUACUUACUGAACGCUUAUGCCUCAUAAUCAAAUUGUCUAAGUGCAACCG